GACGAACGCUGGCGGCGUGCUUAACACAUGCAAGUCGAACGGUGAAGCCCUUCGGGGUGGAUCAGUGGCGAACGGGUGAGUAACACGUGAGCAACCUGCCCCUGGCUCUGGGACAACCACUGGAAACGGUGGCUAAUACCGGAUACGACCCGCCUCGGCAUCGAGUGUGGGUGGAAAGUUUUUCGGCUGGGGAUGGGCUCGCGGCCUAUCAGCUUGUUGGUGAGGUGAAGGCUCUCCAAGGCGACGACGGGUAGCCGGCCUGAGAGGGCGACCGGCCACACUGGGACUGAGACACGGCAGAGACUAAUACGGGAGGCAGCAGUGGGGAAUAUUGCACAAUGGGCGAAAGCCUGAUGCAGCGACGCCGCGUGAGGGAUGACGGCCUUCGGGUUGUAAACCUCUUUCAGCACCGAAGAAGCGAAAGUGACGGUAGGAGCAGAAGAAGCACCGGCUAACUACGUG
This 462-nucleotide ribosomal RNA is filed under the name uncultured bacterium. RNAcentral describes it as "partial 16S ribosomal RNA". It matches the Rfam family "Bacterial small subunit ribosomal RNA", at positions 28 to 507 of the family's 1533-position model. The record is from RNAcentral.